ACGAACUGUGCGAACGUUAUUCGGAAUCACUGGGCUUACAGGGUGCGUAGGCGGCUUGUUAAGUAGGGUGUGAAAGGCUUCGGCUCAACCGGAGCAUUGCGCUCUAGACUGCUUGGCUCGAGUGAGAUAGGGGUGUGCGGAACUUCCAGUGGAGCGGUGAAAUGUGUUGAUAUUGGAAGGAACGCCGGUGGCGAAAGCGGCACACUGGGUCUUAACUGACGCUGAGGCACGAAAGCCAGGGGAGCGAACGGGA
RNAcentral lists this ribosomal RNA (253 nucleotides) under uncultured prokaryote. Its description in RNAcentral is "partial 16S ribosomal RNA". It matches the Rfam family "Bacterial small subunit ribosomal RNA", at positions 525 to 777 of the family's 1533-position model. The record is from RNAcentral.